This 253-nucleotide ribosomal RNA is filed under the name uncultured bacterium. Its description in RNAcentral is "partial 16S ribosomal RNA". It matches the Rfam family "Bacterial small subunit ribosomal RNA", at positions 524 to 776 of the family's 1533-position model. The record is from RNAcentral.
UACGGAGGGAGCUAGCGUUGUUCGGAAUUACUGGGCGUAAAGCGCACGUAGGCGGCUUUUUAAGUCAGGGGUGAAAUCCCGGGGCUCAACCCCGGAACUGCCCUUGAAACUGGAGAGCUAGAAUCUUGGAGAGGCGAGUGGAAUUCCGAGUGUAGAGGUGAAAUUCGUAGAUAUCAGGAAGAACACCCGUGGCUAAGGCGGCUCUCUAGUACGGUACUGACGCUGAGACGCGAAAGCGUGGGGAGCGAACAGG